AUUUCCACUUGUUGCGGGCUGAUGAAAUGCACAUGUGAAUCGACCCCGCCUGCAGUGACAAUCAGGUUCUCGCCGGAGAUGACCUCCGUUCCGACACCGAUAAUCAUGCCAUCCGUUACACCAUCCAUCAUCAUGGGAUUACCUGCCUUGCCGAUUCCGCUAAUGAGUCCGUCUUUAAUCCCGAUAUCGGCUUUGACGAUGCCCCAGGUAUCGAUGAUAAUGGCGUUGGUAAUGACCAGAUCGAGCACGCCUUCUGCACGGGUAGCCAGUGGAUGCUGGCCCAUCCCGUCACGAAU
This 296-nucleotide small RNA is filed under the name Paenibacillus sp. JCM 10914. Its description in RNAcentral is "5' ureB small RNA". It matches the Rfam family "5' ureB small RNA". The record is from Rfam by way of RNAcentral. Lineage: Bacteria; Bacillati; Bacillota; Bacilli; Caryophanales; Paenibacillaceae.